UGGGCUUGUUUUUGAAGCUUCACUCUGUCUCGCGAGAGUUGGAUCUCUCUUUGGAGUUUAGCGCUUCCCACGCGUUUAAAUAUAAAGGCACCAAACAGAAUGCCACUUUUUUUUUUUACUGCAGCGCUCAGCAUCUGCAUCUGCUUUUAAUCAUGACACCAUCUACCUCAACAAGCAACACUUUUAUUUUGCUGUUUUAUCUGAUUUUUACAAUUCUACACGUCAAGGUUAUUGGUUAUAACGGAUGUUACAAGACAUCCAAACAGGGAAUCUCGAGAUGUCAACGCUGUACUCAAGAGUGUUCUGAGAAUAGAAAUGAGAUGGAAGUUACUCCAUGCACUCAGGACAACAAUAGAUCAUGCUUCUGUAAACCAGGUUUUUACUGUACAAAAGGAAACGAUUAUGUCACACACUGCCAUAAACCAUGUGUUCCCUGUGGGAAGGGUACAUUCUCCAGCACACCCUCUCUGGGAGCCUGCAAGCCUCAUAAAAAUUGUGGUAAGUUGGGGAUGAUGACACACCAAGAGGGCACAACGAAACAGGACAGACAGUGUGUGAAUGUCACCACAGUGAUGCCAUCCUUGUCCACUACCACAAAUAUCAUUACUACAUUCCCUAUCACUAACACUUCCAUCCCCUGGACAGGGGUCACUGCACCACUCAUAGACACGUCCGAGGAAAGCCAGUCCCAUUGGCUGCUGCUAUUAAUCUUAAUGUUGAUAAUCUUGUUCAUGGCUGGAUUCUGUAUGCUGAUGAAAAACGGGGCAAAGAAAACCUUUUUAAAAUGGCAUGGUUUAAUAAACAGAGGACAUGAAGAUCAUCAACUCUUGAGUCAAACUGCAGGUGAUCAUCAAAUUUCGUCCAAUUCCCAAUCCCACACCUUGGAGAUAGAGAUACCUCUCGGCAGUGAUGACAGAGAGGUCAAAGGUCAGAGUACGGGGCUGACGCCCCAAUCUGGGGCUGUGCAGCAGGUCACAAUGGAGCACAAUGGGAAGGGUGAGAACGUCAGCAAUACUGUUGGGUCCAUCUACAUCUACUCUCCUGGAAUGGUGAUUUUGGGCUCCAACUCGGGUGAUAAAAAGGAAGAGGCAGGAGUUUGCGAAGAAGGCGUUCCCCUCAUCAGCAGACCACAGCAAGAGUCAAAUCCACCCUCGCAAGAGAUCAGAAUAAAAAUAAGUGCACAGGAAGAGGCCGAGGAGGAACUGAACUUGAGUUUUCCUGUGCCGGCAACUGGAAAGUGAGAACUCGAAUGUGGUUUCUUGCAUCUUUCAUGAUGGCCUUUAGGAAGAUUCCAGGUUUGAAUCACAAGGCUGAAAAUCACAAGUGGCCAGAUAUAAGAUUCCUGGUAAAGCAUAACAUCAGCAAUGGCCAAGUCAUGGUUUCAGUUCCAGAGAAACAUGUACGCUGGCAAAAUGUACAGGCUACCUUGAUUGCACUGUAUGUCGAAUACGGAAUGCGCAGAUGUACAAGAUGGAAAACGCUGAGUAAUAACUUUUGCUUUCUUGCACAUCAAGGAAAAGAUUUAUGCUUAAUUUAAGUUGGUCAGUUUUUUGAAAUGCACUUGUCUGAAUUGCUGCUGCAGCGAAAAUGAGAAAAACACAUGCAUGAAGACUGUGUACAGGAGGUACAGACGAAAGGGUGAGAAAAAUGCCCUCAAAGGUGUUAUGAGUUUUCAAAAUGAAUAUCCUAUAAGACAGAGGCAGCAUAACUGAAAUGCACAUGAUGUGUAUGAAUUGUUUUAUUGUUUAAGCGAGUAGUUGAGAACCUAACAUCUGCGUCUGUAUGUUUCUAAUCAGACUUUUGUUCUACUAUGUGGGUGUUUCAUAUGCAUGUCUAAAAAUACCCAACCUCACCUUCGGAAAGAAGGUGUCUGAUUUGACUGUUGUAGGAGGUCUGGUCGGGACAGACUGUGUUUACAGCACAUGUUCAGAAUGACAUUUCUUCAUUCAUCUCACUUUUUUUUUUUGCUUUGUUUGC
Sinocyclocheilus grahami is the source of this 1977-nucleotide long non-coding RNA. Ensembl lists it as uncharacterized. The record is from Ensembl. NCBI's taxonomy places the organism in Eukaryota, Metazoa, Chordata, Actinopteri, Cypriniformes, Cyprinidae.